Non-coding RNA from Stegodyphus mimosarum, 73 nucleotides. Lineage: Eukaryota; Metazoa; Arthropoda; Arachnida; Araneae; Eresidae. The record is from Rfam.
GCCUUCGUGGUGUAGUGGUCAGCACGCUGGGCGCGUAUUCCAAAGGUACGUGGUUCGAAUCCCGGCGAAGACG